GGUUCACUCCAGGGAAGAAGAGGUCUCCAGAAAUCUCAUCUGUCUCUCACUACUGCUUACUCAGAAAAACUCAUUUUGUUCAGUACUUCCAGAUUUAGCUGAACGGGGUGGGAAAGAGGAAAUGUGUAAAACUGCGUAACGGCACCUGGUGCGCUGCCAUGUUCUUUUUGCUCAGAAGCCAGCCCUGAAGAUGGAGACACCCCACAACCUUAAAGGUGACAGCUCAGUGACAGGGAGCAUGGGAAAGACUUACCUCCACAGGACAGCUCAUCCUGCAGCAGAACAAGGUGGACUGGGCA
Lepidothrix coronata (blue-crowned manakin) is the source of this 299-nucleotide long non-coding RNA. RefSeq lists it as uncharacterized. The transcript is spliced from 3 exons. Lineage: Eukaryota; Metazoa; Chordata; Aves; Passeriformes; Pipridae. The record is from RefSeq and is a predicted model, not a curated record.